This 560-nucleotide ribosomal RNA is filed under the name uncultured Auriculariales. RNAcentral describes it as "eukaryotic LSU rRNA". The stretch from base 187 to 340 matches the Rfam family "5.8S ribosomal RNA". The record is from RNAcentral. Lineage: Eukaryota; Fungi; Basidiomycota; Agaricomycetes; Auriculariales.
CUGCGGAGGAUCAUUAAUGUGUUGCGGACCUCCGCGUCCCUCAUUCCUGGCUGUGCGCCUUCGGGCUGCACGCCGGAACGACACUCAUCCACACCCGUGCACUUUCACGGUGUGAGAGCUUCACCGCUCUCCGCCGCUUCACCACACACGUCGAAUGUCUCGCAUGUCGUUGAUAUACAUCUAUACAACUUUCAGCAACGGAUCUCUUGGCUCUCGCAUCGAUGAAGAACGCAGCGAAAUGCGAUAAGUAAUGUGAAUUGCAGAAUUCAGUGAAUCAUCGAAUCUUUGAACGCACCUUGCGCCCAUUGGCAUUCCACUGGGCACGCCUGUUUGAGUGUCACGUCAACCAUCGCCCGCAACACUUGCUGUCGCGGCGCGGAUUUGGGCGUUGCCGUCGUCGGCUCGCCUCGAAAUGCAUUAGCAGUCGCUGGACCGCGCGUCGGUGUGAUAAUUGUUGGUUAUAUGCGCCGUGCUCGUGUCCGGAGAAUGCUCACAGUCGUCCGCGAGGACAAAUCUAAAGCUCUGGCCUCAAAUCGGGUGGGACUACCCGCUGAACUUAA